Molecule: long non-coding RNA, 444 nt
Organism: Pieris brassicae (large cabbage white)
Lineage: Eukaryota; Metazoa; Arthropoda; Insecta; Lepidoptera; Pieridae
Exons: 3
Source: RefSeq, a predicted model, not a curated record
UUGAACUGGAGCAAAUCAAUCCCAAGGAUUAGGAUCAUUUUAAUAAAGUCAUAUUUAUAGAUUUUUAGUGAUUAAUUUAUGUUUAACUUAAGAAGUCAUUACCAUGGUCGUUGUGCCUGCCGAGGUCGUGUUUGUCAAUGAAGAGGUCAUGAUCUUUGUCCAGCUCCCAGAACUUGCAGUAGAUCACAUAGAAGUGCUCGUAGCUGGAAUUUAUAAAUAGGCAGUAUGAACAUAUCUCGAGUGGAACUCCGUGGCUUCCUUCAAGAAGGACAGGCCGGGAUGUGUGUCCACAACAUCCUGGACUAAAGGAACGAAGUCCUCUGUCUAUGAAUUUGUGGCCAUCCACUGGAGCGUGGAGGUUCUGCUGCGUUGCAAGGAACAAAGGCAUCUUCCAGUAAAGUGGGCACUCGCAGGCUUUUACUAUGUGUUUGAAACUCUCCCGAG